UAAGGAAUAUUGGACAAUGGAGGCAACUCUGAUCCAGCCAUGCCGCGUGAAGGAAUAAGGCCCUAUGGGUUGUAAACUUCUUUUAGACGGGACAAAACCCCUUUACGUGUAAAGGGUUGAUGGUACUGUCAGAAUAAGCAUCGGCUAACUUCGUGCCAGCAGCCGCGGUAAUACGAAGGAUGCAAGCGUUAUCCGGAAUUAUUGGGUUUAAAGGGUGCGUAGGCGGACUAAUAAGUCAGUGGUGAAAGCCUGCAGCUUAACUGCAGAAUUGCCAUUGAUACUGUUAGUCUUGAGUACAGUUGAGGUAGGCGGAAUGUGUCAUGUAGCGGUAAAAUGCUUAGAUAUGACACAGAACACCGAUUGCGAAGGCAGCUUGCUAAGCUGUAACUGACGCUGAGGCACGAAAGCGUGGGGAGCAAACA
RNAcentral lists this ribosomal RNA (422 nucleotides) under uncultured bacterium. RNAcentral's name for it is "bacterial SSU rRNA". It matches the Rfam family "Bacterial small subunit ribosomal RNA", at positions 355 to 774 of the family's 1533-position model. The record is from RNAcentral.